UAGGGAAUCUUCCACAAUGGACGCAAGUCUGAUGGAGCAACGCCGCGUGAGUGAAGAAGGUUUUCGGACCGUAAAGCUCUGUUGUUGGUGAAGAAGGAUAGAGGUAGUAACUGGCCUUUAUUUGACGGUAAUCAACCAGAAAGUCACGGCUAACUACGUGCCAGCAGCCGCGGUAAUACGUAGGUGGCAAGCGUUGUCCGGAUUUAUUGGGCGUAAAGCGAGCGCAGGCGGAAGAAUAAGUCUGAUGUGAAAGCCCUCGGCUUAACCGAGGAAUUGCAUCGGAAACUGUUUUCUUGAGUGCAGAAGAGGAGAGUAGAACUCCAUGUGUAGCGGUGGAAUGCGUAGAUAUAUGGAAGAAUACCAGUGGCGAAGGCGGCUCUCUGGUCUGCAACUGACGCUGAGGCUCGAAAGCAUGGGUAGCGAACAGGAUUAGAUACCCUGGUAGCCCAUGCCGUAAACGAUGAGUGCUAAGUGUUGGGAGGCUUCCGCCUCUCAGUGCUGCAGCUAACGCAUUAAGCACUCCGCCUGGGGGAGUACGACCGCAAGG
This 547-nucleotide ribosomal RNA is filed under the name uncultured bacterium. Its description in RNAcentral is "partial 16S ribosomal RNA". It matches the Rfam family "Bacterial small subunit ribosomal RNA", at positions 355 to 893 of the family's 1533-position model. The record is from RNAcentral.